AAGAUCCUAGCUUAAUUAAAGCAUCUGAGUUGCAAUCAGGAGAUGCAGGGGAGCGUCCUGCGGAUUUUA
RNAcentral lists this transfer RNA (69 nucleotides) under Acanthorhynchus tenuirostris. RNAcentral describes it as "tRNA-Ala". It matches the Rfam family "tRNA". From Rfam's summary of the family: Transfer RNA (tRNA) molecules are approximately 80 nucleotides in length. Their secondary structure includes four short double-helical elements and three loops (D, anti-codon, and T loops). The record is from RNAcentral. Lineage: Eukaryota; Metazoa; Chordata; Aves; Passeriformes; Meliphagidae.